UCAAAAACAUAACCUUUAGCCAAAACAGUAUUAAAGGCGAUGCCUGCCCAGUGAAACAUUUCAACGGCCGCGGUACCCUAACCGUGCAAAGGUAGCGUAAUCAUUUGUCUAUUAAUUGUAGACCAGUAUGAAAGGCCACAUGAGAGCCAAACUGUCUCUUGUAACCAAUCAAUUAAACUGAUCUUCUAGUACAAAAGCUAGAAUAAUAAUAUAAGACCAGAAGACCCUGUGAAGCUUAAACUAACCUACUAAACAAACUAGUAGCUACUUUCGGUUGGGGCGACCUUGGAACAAAACAAAACUUCCAAACACCAUGAGCCAUCCCUCAUAACUACCAGGCAAACAAGCCAACAUAUGACCCAGUAACACUGAUAACUGAACCAAGUUACUCCAGGGAUAACAGCGCUAUCUUCUUCAAGAGCCCUUAUCAAAAAGAAGGUUUACGACCUCGAUGUUGGAUCAGGACACCCCGGUGGUGCAGCCGCUACCAAAGGUUCGUUUGUUCAACGAUUAACAGUCCUACGUGAUCUGA
RNAcentral lists this ribosomal RNA (532 nucleotides) under Eryx miliaris. Its description in RNAcentral is "partial 16S ribosomal RNA". It matches the Rfam family "Bacterial large subunit ribosomal RNA", at positions 1807 to 2608 of the family's 2925-position model. Lineage: Eukaryota; Metazoa; Chordata; Lepidosauria; Squamata; Erycidae. The record is from RNAcentral.